CCCCUCUCAGAGUCACAUCCGGAGAGUUUCCAGUACUCUACCGGUCUCUACUAUGGGAGGGAGAGUCAAACAGAGGCAUAUCCAUUCCAUUUCUAGCUUGGGCAGUGGCUAGGGAGUGGAAAGCAAUGUGUUACAAGU
RNAcentral lists this small nucleolar RNA (138 nucleotides) under Ornithorhynchus anatinus (platypus). The record is from RNAcentral. Lineage: Eukaryota; Metazoa; Chordata; Mammalia; Monotremata; Ornithorhynchidae.